Molecule: long non-coding RNA, 1660 nt
Filed under: Eurytemora carolleeae
Lineage: Eukaryota; Metazoa; Arthropoda; Copepoda; Calanoida; Temoridae
Description: uncharacterized LOC111714275
Source: RNAcentral
UUAAAUAAUUAAUUAUAUAAUUAUAAGAUAAAAUGAAAUGAUUUUACUAAAAGACUGUCGUUGUAAAUUCAAGUGACUUGCCAUUAAUAGAGGUACACGCCCAAUUUACAACAUGGCUCAUCCCUGCCUUAAUCUACAGUUCUACACCCCUGUCUUAAUCUACAGUUCUACAUCCCUGCCUUAACCUACAGUUCUACACCCCUGUUUUAAUCUAAAGUUCUACACCCCUGUCUUAAUCUACAGUUCUACACCCCUGCCUUAACCUACAGUUCUACACCUCUGCCCUAAUCUACAGUUCUACACCCCUACCUUAAUCUACAGUUCUACACCCCUGCCUUAAUCUAGAGUUCUACACCCCUGCCUUAAUCUACAGUUCUACAUCCCUGCCUUAAUCUACAGUUCUACACCCUGUCUUAAUCAACAGUUCUACGCACUGUUCUACACCCUGCCUUAAUCUACAGUUCUACACCCCUGUGUAAGAUCUGAGGAUCUUUAUAAACUAAUGUGUGUUCAGGGUGUUCAGCGACAAGACGUUACUCAGUGUGUUCAACCAGGAAUUCUCUACAAAUAAUCGAUCAAUCACACGGAACUCUACAUGCACAAUUUUCUACAUUUAAUCACGUGUUCAACUCUAUAUAAUUAAUUGAGAUUUUUAAUGUAUAACUAUUUAAAGGCCAAUUUUUAUAAAGAAUAACCUGAUUUUGUUUUAUAAUGCAGAACCUGAGUUUUAUGGUUAAAAUGUUUUAUAACUUAACACAUAUAUAUAAUAUUUAGCCAAAAUCUAUAUAUUGUCUUGUCAAAGCCUAUUUAAUAAAUCUAGCCUCAAAACUUGAUAAAUAAUGAGUUUUAUCUUUCAGAACACAAUAGUUUAGUUGCUUCCUUCUAACCUGAAAUUGUGUUUCUUUCUCCAGGUCUAUAAAUCAUCCGUAAUAAAUACUUAAGGCUAAUUAAAGUUGAAUGAUCUUUACACAACGUUGGAAAAUUUUAUUCCUACGGAUGGUUUAUAGAAUAUAUGUAGAUAAUUGUGAUUGUUGUGAUUCCUCUAAAUAGUUCCGGGCUCGUAUCCGUGCUUUAAACCAAGUGAAAAAUUGCAAAUGUCUAAAAUGAGCUUAAAUAAUAUCCCGACUUCUCAGAAAUCUCUCAACAUAAUUCUCAUGCUAGGCUGGCACGAGUCCCGUUGAUAUAUAACCUCAACUUGCUCCGCUGACUCGUGGAGAAAUUCUACUGAUCUUCAACAUGCAGAUAUCUCCCCUGCGAGUGUUUGACUCCUGAGAUGGUUUCGUUCUCUUCUAAUCUGAGUUGGUUCAGUUCUCUUCUACUCCCACCUACUAAUCUUGACAUCCUGAGUCUAAUGAAGUCUAUAUAAAAGACCUCCGACAUCACCGGAAGCUGAGUCAUCCUUGUUCUCUGGAUCCUCAGCUCGUGCUCCAGAAUAUCCUUCUGGUACUCUAGAGACCCAUAUACCUCUACGUACCAGGCCUGCACAACUUUGGCUUAGUUGUUUCCUCUACUCCGGUUUCUCCGACGAGAAACAUUGUUGCUCCCCUCCGACUGCGGUGCAAUUUAAUGAACUAUAGGCUACAAACCUCUGGACAAAUCAACAUUUUCACGGUUGAGUCCUAUAUAAACUGCCUACCUGAAAUAUAUACAUAAGAUUUAA